This is a long non-coding RNA of Pecten maximus, 3890 nucleotides long. RefSeq lists it as uncharacterized. The transcript has 4 exons. The record is from RefSeq and is a predicted model, not a curated record. Lineage: Eukaryota; Metazoa; Mollusca; Bivalvia; Pectinida; Pectinidae.
AUGGAGUAUUGUUUGAUGGAUUCCAAGGCUUAAAAAUUUGGAUUCAUGUUAGAAUUAUAUAUACUGAUUGUAUCACAGGGCCCAACUAGUUAAAAGUUUUUGAAUCUUUUUCACAUGCUCUAAAAGAUGCAGGGUGCUCAUCUUUGGCCAGCAGGUACCUGUUAUGGAAUGCUAAACAGGUAACAAGGGACAAUGUCUUAUAAAGAUUCAGCAUAAAAGUGACCUUGGCCUAUUUUCAAGGUCACUAUGGGGAAAUAUGAAUUACACGUACUCUAUGUGACCAAGCUAGUAUGCAAUGCAUAAUACUACACUCCUGAGCACACUAUGCUUGACAUCAUGCUAUGUUUAAUUCUACAAAAGCACUCUCUGAGCAGAUUUCAGUACCCGCCAUUAAUUGACUAGGACGAUGUAUCUAUGCAGAACCCUACAUUAUGAUUCACCAAUGCAUUGGAAAUAGUCAUUUUGCCAUUAUUCCCUAGCUGGCUAUAGGAGUGAUUCAGGCCCUUUGGACCUCUUGUUUUUCCUUAUUCUAGGAAUGUCACUAGAAGUAUUCUAUCCCUUCUGAGUUCAUGAAGUUAUCAUAUUUAAUUGCCUGUCCUUUACUACUUCCUGUUUUUGUAACCAAAUAUGGCCUCUGACUUCGUUGUUUCCCCCGAUAUAUUGUAUCCCCACCAAAUAAGUAUACUUAGUCACAGCCGUAAGAACUACACACUGUUUCGGGGAAUUGCCCACAAAAUUUUAUAACAUCUGUUAUGCAUAUAGAUUUUUUUUGUUUGACAAUCAUUUGAAGAUGAUACAUAAGCUUUUUAGAGCUGUCAUUGCCAUUGACCCACAGUACUGUAAAUUGGGAAAUUUUUGCCGUGUAUAAUUUUAUUGUUUUGGUGCCUGGUAUAAAAACGUCGAUAUUUAACGCACCAAAUCAUAAUAUAGCUGGUAUUAAAAUAACAUUAUUUCUUAGCUUUGUAAACAACAGGCAGUCCUAUCAGUAUAUUUGCAUAAAAUGUGUCGUGUUAUUUUUCAGUAAAGUUACUAUUUAUAAGAUUGGUGGUCAUAAUUUUUUCCGUGCUUGUUCAACAGCUGAAACAAAAUUAAAGGUUUGCUAAUAAGGUCAUUAAUUCAUUUGUACUUGAUUAUGGUAUCGUGUAGUAAUUCGUUAAUUUGUACUUGUUUGUAUUGUAUACAGGAUUGUUGGCCAUUUUGUGAGUCUCAUUAAAUCUUGAGGGCUAUGAACUGCCAGGACUUCCAAUGUAAUUACCAUAUUUUAAUCUGAAAGCUGCCAGUGCUAUUCUAUUCUAUGUAUGAAUAUUUACAGUUAAAACAAUAACUCACAAUAACGAUAAAUGCUAAAGCCAUGAUUGUGAGGAAUUCUAAAUCCAAAUAAAUGAAAAGAGUUUUCAAGGAAAAGAAAUAAUUGAUGAUGAAGCAUCUGAACGAUGUUAAUAAACAGCAAUAAAAAACCUUAACUACCAACAAUAUCUGAUAAAGGGUUCAUUGAAAAGCUAUGUUUGGACACAACAAAUGAAAAUUUUUGACAAAAACACCAAAAUUUAAUUACUAACACCAAAAUAUCCCAGUUUACAGUAUACAGGUGUUAGGUAUUCUCGUUAAUUCUUUGCAAAAAGUGAGAGAGUAAAAUCGUACAUGGCUAGUACAGUCAAUGUAGUACUCUAGUUUGUUUGAUAUGUAAAUAUUUGUACAGUCAGCAGUAAAUACUAGUGUUGUUACACAGAACUAAACAAAGAGUGAACAGGAUGUUUGGUCACAUUCUGAUCAAUUUAAAAUCGUGGUUCCUCUUCGUUUGCUGUGUCCUGCAUCUAAAUAUUUUUCGACCGGACAACAAGUGCUCUCACAAUAAAUCUCAAGUGUUUGUGACCUCCAGACUGAGCUUGAUAAAAACUUCACAGAUGCUUAAUCAGUGACUUCGCCAGUGACGUACUUAACACUUAAGUUUGGAACUGACUGACGUAAAUAAGUAGUUGACAAAUUUAUCAGCAUUUUAUAUGCACAUAUGAUUUUGUGUGCAUACAUAAUUAGGUUUCACUUGAUUGGCUAAAGUGACCUUGUAUCACUUGUUAGUAAUCUGGUUUUGGUGCAAGCUAACCAAUCAUAUUUAAAAUGCUUGUGUUAGUGUAUAGGUGGGAAUACCAUACAGUACUGGUGUGUUCAUGUUCUACGUCAUUGUAAGAUGCCCUACCUUACAUCACUGACUUCACAACUGUAGGCAAUGGAUUAAAGAGGGGGAUUGUUAACAGAACAAAUACAUAUUGACAAAAGAAAUAGAGGAAAAAGAAAAUUUAUAUGGGGUAAUUCAUGUCACACACUAGUAUUCAUGAAUAAAAAUUCAAAGGACUUGUUACCCUAAAAUUUUACCAGAUGUUUAAGUCCUUGUGAAUGCCUUUGUAUUUUUUCUCCAAAACUGUGAAGCAAAGAAUGUUCUAUACUGUGUAAAAUUAUAUCUUAAACUGAUAGGAAAUACAAUGUGACACCUAUCAAAACGGAAUACAUAGCAACACUUGGUUUGUAUGUAGAUAUAUUUAGAUAUAUACUUUUUAUACUUAAUUAUCAAAACUCACAAAAUGAAAAUAAUUAAUAACAAUAAAGGAUGUUUGCAAUCACCCCAGUCUCAUGGGAUUCCUCAUUACCUAUGUUACAGUGUGUAGGUUACAACGUCUACACGGCCACCUGUUACAGUGUGUAGGUUCCCACAUCUACACGGCCACCUGUUACAGUGUGUAGGUUCCCACAUCUACACGGCCACGUGUUACACUGUGUAGGUUCCCACAUCUACAUGGCCACCUGUUACAGUGUGUAUGUUCCCACAUCUACACGGCCACCUGUUACAGUGUGUAGGUUACAACGUCUACACGGCCACCUGUUACAGUGUGUAGGUUCCCACAUCUACACGGCCAUCUGUUACAGUGUGUAUGUUCCCACAUCUACACGGCCACCUGUUACAGUGUGUAGGUUCCCACAUCUACACGGCCAUCUGUUACAGUGUGUAGGUUCCCACAUCUACACGGCCACCUGUUACAGUGUGUAGGUUCCCACAUCUACACGGCCACCUGUUACAGUGUGUAGGUUCCCACAUCUACACGGCCACCUGUUACAGUGUGUAGGUUCCCACAUCUACACGGCCACCUGUUACAGUGUGUAGGUUCCCACAUCUACACGGCCACCUGUUACAGUGUGUAGGUUCCCACAUCUACACGGCCACCUGUUACAGUGUGUAGGUUCCCACAUCUACAUGGCCACCUGUUACAGUGUGUAGGUUCCCACAUCUACACGGCCACCUGUUACAGUGUGUAGGUUCCCACAUCUACAUGGCCGCCUGUUACAGUGUGUAGGUUCCCACAUCUACACGGCCACCUGUUACAGUGUGUAGGUUCCCACAUCUACACGGCCACCUGUUACAGUGUGUAGGUUCCCACAUCUACACGGCCGCCUGUUACAGUGUGUAGGUUCCCACAUCUACAUGGCCACCUGUUACAGUGUGUAGGUUCCCACAUCUACACGGCCGCCUGUUACAGUGUGUAGGUUCCCACAUCUACACGGCCACCUGUUACAGUGUGUAGGUUCCCACAUCUACACGGCCACCUGUUACAGUGUGUAGGUUCCCACAUCUACAUGGCCACCUGUUACAGUGUGUAGGUUCCCACAUCUACACGGCCACCUGUUACAGUGUGUAUAUAUAAGGUUCGCACAUCUACACGGCCGCCUGUUACAGUGUGUAGGUUCCCACAUCUACACGGCCACCUGUUACAGUGUGUAGGUUCCCACAUCUACACGGCCACCUGUUACAGUGUGUAGGUUCCACAUCUACACGGCCGCCUGUUACAGUGUGUAGGUUCCCACAUCUACACGGCCGCCUGCUGCAGUGUGUAGGUUCCCAC